AUGGCAAUGGCAAUGGAAUUGGCCAACAAAUUGCUACUGGUGCUCCAGAGCUACUCGCUGCCAGUUUGGGCCAUGAUAAUCUCGGGGCUCUUCGUCGCCGUAUCACUCUCGCUGUCCAUCUACUUGCUCUUCAACCACCAUCGGCCUACAAGAACCCAGAGGAGCAGAAGUUCCUCGUCGGCGUCGUUCUGA
Molecule: ribosomal RNA, 192 nt
Filed under: Triticum aestivum (bread wheat)
Lineage: Eukaryota; Viridiplantae; Streptophyta; Magnoliopsida; Poales; Poaceae
Description: partial small subunit ribosomal RNA
Source: RNAcentral